RNAcentral lists this non-coding RNA (69 nucleotides) under unclassified sequences. The record is from RNAcentral.
ACUGUAAUGUAGCCUGUAGGGGCUAAAGCCCUUGUAGACAGUCACAAGCCUGUAAAAUACAGAGUGAGU